GCCGGGCAUGGUGGUGCAUGCCUGUAAUCCCAGCUACUUGGGAGGCUGAGGCAGGAGAAUUGCUUGAACCCGGGAGGUGGAGGUUGCAGUGAGCCGAGAUCGUGCCACUGCACUCUAGCCUGGGCAACAGAGCAAGACUCCGUUUCAA
RNAcentral lists this non-coding RNA (148 nucleotides) under Nomascus leucogenys (northern white-cheeked gibbon). Lineage: Eukaryota; Metazoa; Chordata; Mammalia; Primates; Hylobatidae. The record is from Rfam by way of RNAcentral.